This 448-nucleotide ribosomal RNA is filed under the name uncultured bacterium. Its description in RNAcentral is "bacterial SSU rRNA". It matches the Rfam family "Bacterial small subunit ribosomal RNA", at positions 330 to 793 of the family's 1533-position model. The record is from RNAcentral.
UCCAGACUCCUACGGGAGGCAGCAGUGGGGAAUAUUAGACAAUGGGGGAAACCCUGAUCCAGCGACGCCGCGUGAGUGAAGAAGUAUUUCGGUACGUAAAGCUCUAUCAGCAGGAAAGAAAAUGACGGUACCUGACUAAGAAGCCCCGGCUAACUACGUGCCAGCAGCCGCGGUAAUACGUAGGGGGCAAGCGUUAUCCGGAUUUACUGGGUGUAAAGGGAGCGUAGACGGCAGCGCAAGUCUGGAGUGAAAUGCCGGGGCCCAACCCCGGAACUGCUCUGGAAACUGUGAAGCUGGAGUGCAGGAGAGGUAAGCGGAAUUCCUGGUGUGGCGGUGAAAUGCGUAGAUAUCAGGAGGAGCACCGGCGGCGCAGGCGGCUUACUGGGCUGUAACUGACGUUGAGGCUCGAAAGCGUGGGGAGCAAACAGGAUUAGAGACCCUGGUAAAA